Small nuclear RNA from Panthera pardus (leopard), 107 nucleotides. Lineage: Eukaryota; Metazoa; Chordata; Mammalia; Carnivora; Felidae. The record is from Ensembl.
GUGUUCACUUCAGCAGCACAUAUACUAAAAUUGGAACGACACAGAGAAGAUUAGCACGGGCCCUGUGCAAGGAUGGCAUGCAAAUUCGUGAAGCUUCCAGAAAAAGA